GGCCGAAACACCCGCCCCCGUCGGAGUGGGUGUCCGCCGGGUGGGGCCCGGCGCUGACGAGGCCAAAU
This 68-nucleotide non-coding RNA is filed under the name Micromonosporaceae bacterium. Lineage: Bacteria; Bacillati; Actinomycetota; Actinomycetes; Micromonosporales; Micromonosporaceae. The record is from RNAcentral.